UACACACCGCCCGUCACACCACGAAAGUUUGUCGUACCUGAAGUCGUUGGCGCCAACCGCAAGGAGGCAGACGCCCACGGUAUGACCGAUGAUUGGGGUG
This 100-nucleotide ribosomal RNA is filed under the name uncultured bacterium. RNAcentral's name for it is "partial 16S ribosomal RNA". It matches the Rfam family "Bacterial small subunit ribosomal RNA", at positions 1384 to 1482 of the family's 1533-position model. The record is from RNAcentral.